Long non-coding RNA from Gasterosteus aculeatus aculeatus (three-spined stickleback), 1173 nucleotides. RefSeq lists it as uncharacterized. The record is from RefSeq and is a predicted model, not a curated record. NCBI's taxonomy places the organism in Eukaryota, Metazoa, Chordata, Actinopteri, Perciformes, Gasterosteidae.
CUCCGGACUCACCCGACGCCAUGCAACGAGCAAUAGCUUAUCUCAAGUUUUGAAAAAAAUGAAAAAAAGAAAAAGCGGCUCUAACCCCGCACACAAACUGGCGGUUGGCUAGCAGGCUAGCUAGCUAGCUAGCUACGCCCUUACGCAGUCCCCGAAGAAAUUAGCCAGAAACUUUUCCUCACUUUCACAGCAGCGCUAAACUUCCACAAAAAAAGAGAGACCCGAGGGUGCAGAUGAGCUCGGCGCUUCGGCCCGCCUGGUUUUCGCUAACACAGCUCGGAAAGUGUCUCCGCGCGGAGCCGGACCACGACAGACACGGACCGACGGAGGGCCGCUGGGAAAACCCGGCGCUGGAUCCUCGGCGACGGGAGUCGAUUCCACUCAAAUGAUGACUUGGCGCAUUAUCACGGCGGUUAAUUGUUCCCGCCCCGGGGAAGCGAAACAUACACCAAAACAAACAAUUAUGAUCUAUGUAUUUAGAACGGACUAAAGUCACGGAUGAAAAACAACAACUUGAUCAAAAAAGUUAGAAAUAGGAGUAUAUCCAGUGCACCCUCUGCACUAUUUAUUUAAUUAUUAUGCAUGUUUUUUGUUCUAUUUCAUGUGCUGAUUUGCAUUAAGUAAUAAUCUACAACACUUUUACCAAAUUAGAUGUUCAGUCAUAUCUGUAAACUUAAAUAUAAUCAGUUGAUACAAUUGUUGGAAGUUAAACGAAUGUGUUUGGCAAAAAUACAAAAAGUUCUGCAUUCACAUUACAUAAGUAUGCUAAAAUGCCCUUUUCACAUGUUUACUAUUACAUUAUUGUAACUGCCAUUAGGUGGCGCUAAUGUUAACUAUCAUAUAUUCUAUUGAGGUAGUUUAAUCAAUUCAUGUCAGUUUGUGUGCUAUUUUAUAUGAAAUCUGUUUGUACAGUAUGACUAGUAGUAGCUACAGCAGUCAGAUAAACUUGAUGAAAUGCAUUUCCCUCUGAAAUGUCGUGGAAUGAAUGAAAACACACAAGUACCUACAUUGUAAAUGUACUUAACAGGGGUGGAGAGUAAACAUGAAAUCACUCAAACAGGAAACAGGAAGCAAAAGUAAAGGUCAUACUAGCCAAUGAUCUGUGUUAUGUCAUGCAAUCAAAAUAAAUAAAAAAACACUAUCAAAACAAAAAAAGAGGAAGAAGCAUGCUCA